AUCCCUUGACAUCCUGCGAACUUUCUAGAGAUAGAUUGGUGCCUUCGGGAACGCAGUGACAGGUGCUGCAUGGCUGUCGUCAGCUCGUGUCGUGAGAUGUUGGGUUAAGUCCCGCAACGAGCGCAACCCUUAUCAUUAGUUGCUAACAUUUAGUUGAGAACUCUAAUGAGACUGCCGGUGAUAAACCGGAGGAAGGCGGGGACGACGUCAAGUCAUCAUGGCCCUUAUGGGAUGGGCUACACACGUGCUACAAUGGGGGGUACAAAGAGCAGCCAACUGGCGACAGUGCGCGAAUCUCAUAAAACCUCUCGUAGUCCGUAUCGGAGUCUGCAACUCGACUCCGUGAAGUCGGAAUCGCUAGUAAUCGUGAAUCAGAAUGUCACGGUGAAUACGUUCCCGGGCCU
This 404-nucleotide ribosomal RNA is filed under the name uncultured bacterium. RNAcentral describes it as "bacterial SSU rRNA". It matches the Rfam family "Bacterial small subunit ribosomal RNA", at positions 976 to 1381 of the family's 1533-position model. The record is from RNAcentral.